AGCGAACGCUGGCGGCAGGCUUAACACAUGCAAGUCGAGCGGGCACUUUCGGGUGUCAGCGGCGGACGGGUGCGUAACGCGUGGGAACGUGCCCUCUGGUUCGGAAUAACUCAGGGAAACUUGAGCUAAUACCGGAUACGCCCUUUUGGGGAAAGGCUUGCUGCCGGAGGAUCGGCCCGCGUCUGAUUAGCUAGUUGGUGAGGUAACGGCUCACCAAGGCGACGAUCAGUAGCUGGUCUGAGAGGAUGAUCAGCCAAACUGGGACUGAGACACGGCCCAGACUCCUACGGGAGGCAGCAGUGGGGAAUAUUGGACAAUGGGCGCAAGCCUGAUACAGCCAUGCCGCGUGAGUGAUGAAGGCCUUAGGGUUGUAAAGCUCUUUUAUCCGGGACGAUAAUGACGGUACCGGAGGAAUAAGCCCCGGCUAACUUCGUG
RNAcentral lists this ribosomal RNA (435 nucleotides) under uncultured bacterium. RNAcentral's name for it is "partial 16S ribosomal RNA". It matches the Rfam family "Bacterial small subunit ribosomal RNA", at positions 29 to 507 of the family's 1533-position model. The record is from RNAcentral.